CCAUCUUUAAUGCUAUUUACUCUAUUUAUUUAAUUUAAAUCAAGUAGCAAAACAAGAUAUUUUUACCCAUUUGAAAAGGGCUAAAAGGGUCCUAAAAAAAGCUCGAGAAGAGCAACAAAUGAGUCUAUUCACCAUAAUUAUUACGCCAAUUGUGAAUUCUCAUGCUUAAUCAAAUUAUCAUGAUGAUACUUUGGUUAUUGAUUGGUGUGUUGAAAUUCACUAUCAUUUCUUAAAGAUAAACAGCAAGCAUGCCUUAAUAAAUUGCCAUGUGUAUGAUGUAAUUAAGUUGUUUGAUCUUCAAAGAAUCGGCAGCUCAAUAGAUGUAGAAGCUAAUGUAGACCUUUGGUACCUGGCGUUAUGGGAAUAUCUUCCAAGUACAUUAAAGAUACUCGAAAGAUCCCCAAAAUACCUACUUAGCCAAACAUCCAUACUCAAAGCUAAAGACGAUAUAACCAACUAGAUGUCAAAUUAAACUUAUUAUUAAAGUCAAAUACAAAUGAAAACAAGAAUGUUGGGACAACAUUGCAUAAAAAGAUAAGUCAGGUGCACCAAAUGGAAAAGCAUAGCAUGAAUGCAGAAAACGAGUUUCAUAUACAAUUAAAAGAGUGUUAGCAGAUGAAAAGUUAUGCAAAACACAGUUGCACAACAGACAAAUCAUCUUCUUCACCAUUUUUUUAGAUGGGGGGAUCAACAAAAGUUGUAGAGGUGGCAUAGGCGUGAGCUUUAGUACCAGAAACAUUUAAUGGGAGCUUUAGUUGGGGUAUACCAAAUACACCAGGUGACCUCUGUGGACUGCUAGAUUGGGAUGUACAGGACCCUUAAUGACCUCGAUUGUUGCUAUGAUAAUUGAUUUGUCUACCAUCCUAAGCACUGUCAGCACCAGAUCUGUACCCUAUACUUCGACCAUUAUGCAUUUCUUUUACCUAGACAAUAUACCUUCAUACUUGGUCUGCAGCAUUUCAAGAUCUUUAGUCACCUAAAUUUGCUCCUCAAACAGAUCAUCGAGGCAUCCCUUCAAGGCUUUAUUUUCCUAAGCAGGGCUUCUCUUCAUACAACUUGUGGUUUUGGAUUUUACCUUAUAACUUUACCACGAUCGCUUGAGCAUUGGGGGCAGCUAUGGAAUCUUGGAAGAUAUGACUCAACAAAAAAGUUAUCUACAAUCAACAUGUUAAAGUAUGAGCUUUAAACUGAUUUCCAGAAGAUCAACCGUCAUGUCAGUUCGUGGUCUUGUUGGUAUACGACAAGUCAGCGGAAAAGGAUACAAGCCUGUAUGACAAACUUUGGUCGUCAGCCAAAGCUUUAAGUGAAAGCACGUAAAUAUCACGUGCUACCACUUACUCUGAACGGCAUAAAAGAAUGUCGUUUUGAGGCUUAAUGUUAGCAAGAAUUCAACACGUGUCCUGAAAGUUGUUAAAGUCAGUUACAAUAGGCGGGAGAAAUCUGGGAUUGUUAGCCAACAAACCCAGAUUACAGCUGUUUGACAGGGGGUCUUCGUGAGAGCUCUUAAGCUAGUAUAAGUAGUCUUGGAGUCUGGGAAAUCAGAGGGUGUAUUGCUUGUAACUUCGUCUUCAUACUUGAAACUUGUUCUUGGCUAUUGAAUAAAAGCUGUUGCUCUGUUCUUCAGUGGAUGUAGGCUGCCUCCAGCCGAACCACUUAUAUUUUGUUGUUCUUUGUGUAUUGUUUCUGUUUGAUUUCUUUGAGUGAAUUGAUUAAACCAUUCAUUAGAUCCUGAUUAGAGAGUUCAGUUAGAUCCUAGAGAGUCUUGAUUGGAUAUUAAGUCUGGUCUAGGUUCAACAAAUUGGUAUCAGAGCUAUAUCUCUGAUCUUUGAUCCAAGAAAUGGGAACCUCCAAGUUUGAGGUAGAAAAAUUCACUGGAGAAAACGACUUUCAUCUAUGGCGGCUCAAGAUGAGAGCUCUGUUGGUUCAUUAGGGACUGGAGGAGACUUUGGGUGAUCCAAGAUCUGAAAAGAAACCCAACAAGCUUUCUGAUGAAGAAAUGCGAGAUGCUUUAGAUAAAGCUCAUAGCACACUAAUCUUGAGUCUGGGAGAUGGAGUUCUCAGGGAAGUGGGAGACCAAACUACUGCUGCAGGCCUCUGGAAAAAACUUGAAGACCUAUAUACCAAGAAGUCUCUAACCAAAAGACUUUGUACUAAAAAGAGGCUGUAUACUUUGCAAAUGGAGGAAGGAAGCUCCUUGGCAACUCACAUUGAUAACUUUAACAAAAUCAUCUUGGAUCUUGAAGAUAUCAAUGUGAGUCUUGAGGAUGAAGACAAGGCAAUAAUCUUGUUAUCAUCUCUCCCACCAUCAUAUGAACACUUUGUAGAUACACUGCUUUAUGGAAGGCAGUCAAUAUCAAUGGCUGAUGUAAAGGAUUCUCUCAGCUCUAAAGAAGUCACAAAGAAGGCAGAAACAAAAGCUGGGGAAGGUCUGAUGGCAAGAGGAAGACCUGAGAAGAAAGAUUACAACAAAGGGAAGAAAAGAGACAAGUCAAAGUCCAAGAAUAAAAAUCUGAAAUGCUUUCACUGUCACAAGGAAGGGCAUUUCAAGAGGGACUGCCCAGAUAGAAAGAACAAGGGAAAUGAAGGCAUGGGAAGAAUGGUGAUGCUGCUGUUGCAUCAGAAGAUGAAGGCUAUGACUCAGCUGGUGUCCUUUUGGCUUCUGAAACUCAGACAAACAGUAAGUGGAUUCUUGAUUCUGGAUGUUCAUAUGUGUCCUGAUCAAAAUCUUUUUACUACUUAUAAUGCUUUUAAUAGAGGUGAGGUUCUGAUGGGGAAUAACACAAUGUGUAAGGUUGUUGGGUUAGGAACCAUUAGAUUUAAGAUGUUUGAUGGGAUGAUUAGGGAGCUAAGAGAUGUGAGGCAUAUUCCUGAUCUAAAAAGGAAUUUAAUAUCUCUAGGCACUCUAGAUCAAAUUGGAUGCUCCAUUAAGGUUGAAUCUGGAGUAAUGAAGGUUGUUAGAGGGUCUAUAGUGGUUAUGAAAGGGAAUAAGCAAAAUAGCUUAUAUGUGCUUCAAGGCACUGCUGUAACUGGGGAUGUUAGUAUCUCAGCAAGUCUGGGUUUGGAUAAAACUCUCAUAUGGCAUCUAAGGUUAGGACAUAUGAGUGAAAAGGGGCUAAAAAUUCUAGAAAAACAGGGAGUCUUAGGGGAUGAUAAGUUGGGGUCUUUGGAGUUCUGUGAGGUAUGUGUCCUAGGCAAGUCCUCAAGAACUAGUUUCAAAACUGCAAUGCAUAACACAAAAGGGACCCUAGAUUACAUCCAUUCAGAUCUGUGGGGACCAUCACAGACUGUCUCUCUAGGUGGAGCAAAAUACUUUCUCUCUUUUAUAGAUGAUUACUCGAGGAUGGUAUGGGUUUAUGUCUUGAAAGGUAAGGAUGAAGUCUUCGAGAGGUUCAAACAAUGGAAAGCAUUGAUGGAAACUCAGAGUGGUAGGAAGAUUAAGAGACUGAGGACUGAUAAUGGGCUUGAAUUCUGCAACAAACAGUUUGAUGAUUUCUGCAAACUCAAUGGCAUAGCAAGACACAAAACAAUGAGUUACACUCCACAGCAGAAUGGGCUAGCAGAAAGAAUGAAUAGGACUUUGAUGGAUAAAGUCAGAUGUUUACUGAUCCAUUCAAAGCUUCCUCAAACACUAUGGGCUGAAACUUUGAUGACAGCAUGUUAUCUAGUGAAUAGAAGUCCAUCCAGUGCCCUAAACUUCAAGACACCAGUAGAGACGUGGUCAGGAAGGGCAGCAAAUUAUUCAAAUCUUAAGAUUUUUGGUUGUCUAGCUUAUGCACAUGUCAAGCAAGGGAAGCUGGAGCCAAGAGCACUGAAAUGUGUAUUCCUGGGUUAUCCUGAAGGUGUCAAAGGUUAUAAACUUUGGUGCACUGAAAUGAAGCCACCAAAGUGCAUAGUCAGCCGAGAUGUAGUCUUCAAUGAGUCAGAGAUGUUAAUGAAAGGACAUCAAAAGGAUCCUGCUAAACCAAAAGGAGGACUUGACUCACAGGGACAACAUUUGAAGGUGGAGUUUAAAGGAAAAUCAGCUCUGGGCUACCAUGAUGAAGCUGAAGACAUGGAGAAAGAAGAUGCUGAAGAUAUCAGUGAAGCUUCUGGAACUCAUACAGAUAUUCAAGACUAUCAACUGGCAAGAGACAGACAAAGGAGAGUUAUCAAAACACCUAAGAGGUUUGCAUAUGCAGAUUUGAUUGCAUAUGCACUAACAGCAGCCCAUGAACUAGACAAUGAUGAGCCCAAAACCUACAGAGAAGCUGUUUCAGGAAAGGAUGCAGAUAAAUGGAUAAAAGCUAUGAAGGAUGAAAUAGAGUCAUUACAUAAAAAUAACACCUGGAAGCUUGUAAAAAGGCCAGAAAAUAAAAGGGUAAUAGGCUGUAAAUGGGUUUACAAGGUCAAGCAGGGUAUACCAGGGGUUGAAUCCAUGAGAUAUAAAGCUAGGCUAGUUGCCAAAGGCUACACACAGAGAGAGGGGAUUGAUUUCACAAAAGUCUACUCACCUGUAGUUAGACAUACCUCAAUAAGAAUGAUCCUAGCUCUGGUUGCAGUUCAUAGCAUGCAUCUUGAACAGAUGGAUGUUAAGACUGCAUUUUUACAUGGUGAGCUUGAAGAACAAAUAGUAAUGUCUCAACCUGAAGGCUUUGAAGACCAGUCAAAUGGUGAUUGGGUAUGCCUUAUGAAGAAAUCACUUUAUGGCCUCAAGCAGUCCCCAAGACAGUGGUAUCUUAGGUUUGACAGCUUUAUGAUGAAACUUUGUUUUCAAAGGUGUAAUCUAGACUGCUGUGUUUAUUACAAAGAGAUAUCAGGGGAUAUGGUUUAUCUAAUUCUGUAUGUGGAUGAUAUGCUCAUUGCCAGCAAAAGCAUGGAACAUAUAAACUUUCUGAAACAACAACUCAAAGGUGAAUUUGAGAUGAAGGAUCUGGGACCAGCUAAAAAGAUACUUGGAAUGCAGCUGAUCAGAGACUGGAAAUCUGGCACUUUGUUUCUUACACAGGAGGAAUAUAUCAGGAAAGUACUUGAUAAGUUUGACAUGACUACUGCCAAACCAGUGCAAACACCAUUACCAGCUCACUUCAGAUUAUCAGAACAGCAGUGCCCAACAGCUGAUAUUGACAAGUCUGAAAUGAUAAAGAUACCUUAUGCAAGUGUUGUAGGCUGCUUAAUGUAUGCCAUGGUGCUCACCAGACCUAAUAUAGCACAUGCAGUCAGUGUGGUCAGUAGGUAUAUGUCCAAUCCUGGAAAAGAACAUUGGAAGGCUAUAAAGUGGAUACUCAGGUAUCUAAGGGGAACUUCUGGGCAUGGUCUGAUAUAUGGGGGACAGAGAAGAGAUGACAGUUUAAUUGUGGGAUAUGUGGAUGCUGAUUAUGCAGGGGACUUGGAUAGAAGAAGGUCUUUAACUGGUUAUCUUUUCACAUUCAACAAUUGCACAAUAAACUGGAAAUCACAGCUACAGAGUGUAGUGGCCUUGUCCACAACUGAAGCAGAGUACACAGCUGCUGCUGAAGCCAUAAAAGAGGCAAUAUGGCUGAAGGGUAUGUUGAAGGAGCUUGGAGUCAAUCAGAGGUCUGUGGUGAUACAUUGUGAUAGCCAAAGUGCUAUAUGCCUAAGCAAGAAUCAAACACACCAUGAAAGAACCAAACACAUUGACAUUAAGGUGCACUUUAUCAGGCUGGAAAUCUCAAAAGCAACUGUAAUGCUUCAGAAAAUCCAUACAGACGACAAUGUUGCAGAUAUGUUAACUAAAGCUGUUCCAGGAGCUAAAUUCAAAUUCUGUUUGGGUUUGGCUGGCAUCUGUGAUAACUAAAUUACAGAUGGUGGGAGAGAAGAGUAGCAGGUCAUGAGAGUUUUAAGCUCAAGGUGGAGAAUGUUAAAGUAUGAGCUUUAAACUGAUUUCCAGAAGAUCAACCGUCAUGUCAGUUUGUGGUCUUGUUGGUAUACGACAAGUCAGCCGAAAAGGAUACAAGCCUGUAUGACAAACUUUGGUCGUCAGCCAAAGCUUUAAGUGAAAGCACGUAAAUAUCACGUGCUACCACUUACUCUGAAUGGCAUAAAAGAAUGUCGUUUUGAGGCUUAAUGUUAGCAAGAAUUCAACACGUGUCCUGAAAGUUGUUAAAGUCAGUUACAAUAGGCGGGAGAAAUCUGGGAUUGUUAGCCAACAAACCCAGAUUACAGCUGUUUGACAGGGGGUCUUCGUGAGAGCUCUUAAGCUAGUAUAAGUAGUCUUGGAGUCUGGGAAAUCAGAGGGUGUAUUGCUUGUAACUUCGUCUUCAUACUUGAAACUUGUUCUUGGCUAUUGAAUAAAAGCUGUUGCUCUGUUCUUCAGUGGAUGUAGGCUGCCUCCAGCCGAACCACUUAUAUUUUGUUGUUCUUUGUGUAUUGUUUCUGUUUGAUUUCUUUGAGUGAAUUGAUUAAACCAUUCAUUAGAUCCUGAUUAGAGAGUUCAGUUAGAUCCUGGAGAGUCUUGAUUGGAUAUUAAGUCUGGUCUAGGUUCAACACAACAAGAUAGUGCUAGAAUUACAAAUCCAUUCAUAAUUUAAUAGGCUUUGAGACUUGACUAUAGCGUUCGCUCAAGUCUAACCUAUCCGUCGUUACUGCAGUCACUGUAGGGUAUGUUCUUGAUGGUGUAGUGCAUAAACCUAGCCAAGGGCAAGACAUUUUUUUUUGCCACUAGAUCCAGCUCUCCUUUAGCAAAAUCCCUAGGAAGAGAGUAGAAGGACCUUAAUUUUUUUUUUUUUUUGAGUGAAGUUGUUAAAGGAGGCACCCUGUCACAUAGUUAUUACUCCAGGAAAGUGAGGAGAUAAGGUGCCCUUGAAGCUGCCGGGGAAGAUGCCUUUUGAUUUAGUUCUUACUCUCUAGUUAUUACUCUAAAAUAGUGAAGAGUCGGGUACCCUUAGCGAGAGGAGUGGUACCCAAACCAUCAGAUGAGCAACCCCUCAUUUAAUUUUUAAAAAAGGUCAAAAUCCUCAGUAAAUGGGCUCACAUCUGCCAAACAUCAUGCACCCAAAUAAGAAAAGGUCAGCUAAGCAAACACUGAAGUCCUAUAAACAGAAACAAAAAAAGAAGAGUAAGAAACACAUAAAUUAUAAAUACAAAACACGAGAGACAACGAGGUAAAUAAAACACUUUGCACUCAAAGUGACUUAUCUUCAAAGGCAGACAAAGAGCUCUCUCAUCGAUCAACCUAGGUUUUCUAAUCUUUCCUCACUCAAGACGUCACUCUAUUUUUGUAAAACCAAAAUCCACUGUUCAUAAGCACUCACUUUUUUGCCCACCUCCUGAAUAAGACUUUUUUUCCUUGAUCCAUGUAACAUCUACAAGGUUACAAGGAGCCAUGGAUUGGAGGAACACUCUAAAUAAGUAAUGCAGGACAAAAGAGAAAGAAAAGAAAGGAAGGACAUUCUGUCUUCAUUGAAUGAGCUUUUGCCCUCACAUUCUUGCCAUCAGAUAGUGAAUCCCACUCCCACUUAUUAUCGGCCACAAACCAACAAGGUAGGUCCAUUUCCACUAGGUUACUAUGGGUGGCCCAAGUAGAAAAUAAGUAGCGGAUAUUGGACUUCUUCAGUUGAUAAAGCCCUCUAAACUCUCAAAGAAAAAUCUCUCUCUCCGACAGUUCUAGUCAUAACAUCUGAAGGACAGUAAGAACUUUCCAUCCAAGUAAGAAUAAUUGUCCUAAGACAAUACAGAGGUGGCUAAACAUUGUUCUGAGAAAGUGACUGGAGGGGUAGGCGAAGUCCUAGGCAAAAAAGUUAAUAUGGAGAAUUGUCUCAUCUAUCUUAAGGAAAUAUAAGGUUAAUAUAAAGAGUUAUCUCAUUUAUCCUAGGGAAAUCUAAGGUUUCAUUCUCAUUGGGCACCCUAAGAUUGAUAGAAGAAAAGAUGCUGCACUUGGUCUUAAUACGUUGUAGAUCUUGCGGGGUAGCCCUCUUACCACUUAAAGAGUGAGAUUUGUUAGAUUUAGAAGCGCAGAGAGAAGGAAAUUUAAGGAUAUAGAUUGGGAUCUAUGUUUUGGCAUUCACUUUGGAUUGACUAAUAAGGAGUUUACCUUUAGACUUAGCCCUUUGAGAAUGAGAAACCAUAUGAGAAACCCGAAGACUACUAUAACCUACACCUAUAUCAAAUGAGGACUCAAAGUCAUGACUAUUACUCUCUGAACUACUCGAGGAAGACCCCUCAUCCUCAAUAACCUCUAUAUAAGGGGUAGACUCGAAUUCAGGCAUGCUUUUGCUUAAGUUCUCUACUAUAUGAUGCCUUUUAACACUGAUCCUCUUCUUACCCAUUCUUUCAAAAGCACAACCCAAGAAUGAAAGAAAACCCACAAGUCAAAGCCCACGAAUCAAAAUCCACAAAUUAAAAUUCAACCAAAACCCACAAAUUAAUAGUUAAAAAGCAUAAAAUUAGGGAUUUAUUUCAAGAUCUCGAAUGGGAAAGCAUUAUAGCCAAGCAUAUACACAUG
Molecule: long non-coding RNA, 8440 nt
Filed under: Citrus x clementina
Lineage: Eukaryota; Viridiplantae; Streptophyta; Magnoliopsida; Sapindales; Rutaceae
Description: Citrus clementina (C. clementina) long non-coding RNA (CCLE_LNC000917)
Source: RNAcentral